This is an RNA transcript of Neomonachus schauinslandi (Hawaiian monk seal), 1534 nucleotides long. It is a transcript of the gene named RNA-binding protein FUS-like, with no coding region annotated. NCBI's taxonomy places the organism in Eukaryota, Metazoa, Chordata, Mammalia, Carnivora, Phocidae. The transcript has 2 exons. The record is from RefSeq and is a predicted model, not a curated record.
AUGGUGAGUCCUCGAGGUGUCAGUGCUCUGUGGUGUUGGAAUCUUGUUGCUUGCCGGCCUGUGCACGUGUGCGUGGACGCGGCCUCAACCGACUAUACCCAACAAGCAACCCAAAGCUAUGGGGCCUACCCCACCCAGCCUGGGCAGGGCUAUUCCCAGCAGAGCAAUCAGCCCUAUGGACAGCAGAGUUACAGUGGUUACGGACAGUCAGCAGACACUUCAGGCUAUGGCCAGAGCAGCUAUGGUUCUUCCUAUGGACAGACCCAGAACAGCCAUGGCACUCGGUCAGCUCCCCAGGGAUAUGGCUCAACCGGUGGCUAUGGUGGUAGCCAGAGUUCUCAGUCAUCUUAUGGGCAACAGUCCUCUUACCCUGGCUAUGGCCAGCAGCCAGCUCCGAGCAGCACCUCGGGAAGUUAUGGUAGUGGUUCUCAGAGCAGCGGCUAUGGGCAGCCCCAGAGUGGGGCUAUGGCCAGCAGUCUGGCUAUCGUGGACAGCAGCAAGGCUAUGGACAGCAGCAAAGCUCCCAUAACCCCCCUCAAGGCUAUGGCCAGCAGGACCGUGGGGGCCGCGGCCGGGGCGGUGGCGGUGGUUACAACCGCAGCAGCGGUGGCUAUGAGCCCAGAGGUCAUGGAGGUGGCUGUGGAGGCAGAGGCGGCAUGGGCGGAAGUGACCAUGGUGGCUUCAGUAAAUUUGGUGGCCCUCGGGACCAGGGAUCACCUCAUGACUCUGAACAGGAUAAUUCAGACAACACCACCAUCUUCAUGCAAGGCUUGGGUGAAAAUGUUACAAUUGAGUCUGUGGCUGAUUACUUCAAGCAGAUUGGUAUUAUUAAGACAAAUAAGAAAACAGGACAGCCCAUGAUUAAUCUGUACACAGACAGGGAAACGGGCAAGCUGAAGGGAGAGGCAACAGUGUCGUUUGAUGACCCACCUUCUGCUAAAGCAGCUAUUGACUGGUUUGAUGGUAAAGAAUUCUCUGGGAAUCCCAUCAAGGUCUCAUUUCUACUCGGCGAGCAGACUUCAAUCGGGGCGGUGGCAAUGGUCAUGGAGGCUGAGGGCGAGGAGGACCCAUUGGCCGUGGAUGCUAUGGAGGUGGUGGCAGUGGUGGUGGUGGCUGGGGAGGAUUCCCUAGUGGAGGGGGUGGUGGUGGCAGCCAGCAGCGAGCUGGUGACUGGAAGUGUCCUAAUCCUAUAUGUGAGAACAUGAACUUCUCUUGGAGGAAUGAAUGCAACCAAUGUAAGGCCCCUAAACCAGAUGGCCCAGGAAGGGGGACUAGGAGGCUCUCAUAUGGGGGUAACUAUGGAGAUGAUCGUUGUGGUGGCAGAGGAGGCUAUGAUCGGGGCGGCUACCGAGGCCGAGGCGGGGACCGUGGGGGCUUCCGAGGGGGCCAGGGUGGUGGGGACAGAGGUGGCUUUGGCCCUGGCAAGAUGGACUCCAGGGGUGAGCGCAGACAGGAUCGCAGGGAGAGGCCAUAUUAGCUUGGCUCCUGAGGUUCUGCAACAGCUUUUCUUCUUGUACCCAGUGUUACCCUCAUU